RNAcentral lists this ribosomal RNA (252 nucleotides) under uncultured bacterium. RNAcentral describes it as "partial 16S ribosomal RNA". It matches the Rfam family "Bacterial small subunit ribosomal RNA", at positions 524 to 776 of the family's 1533-position model. The record is from RNAcentral.
UACGAAGGGUGCAAACGUUGCUCGGAAUCAUUGGGCGUAAAGCGCACGUAGGCGGCCUGUUAAGUCGGAUGUGAAAUCCCUCGGCUCAACCGAGGACGUGCAUUCGAAACUGGCAGCUCGAGUAUGGAAGAGGGUCGCGGAAUUCCCGGUGUAGAGGUGAAAUUCGUAGAUAUCGGGAGGAACACCAGUGGCGAAGGCGGCGACCUGGGCCAAUACUGACGCUGAGGUGCGAAAGCGUGGGGAGCGAACAGG